This 1144-nucleotide long non-coding RNA is filed under the name Salmo salar (Atlantic salmon). Its description in RNAcentral is "lncRNA (ENSSSAG00000103302.1)". Lineage: Eukaryota; Metazoa; Chordata; Actinopteri; Salmoniformes; Salmonidae. The record is from RNAcentral.
CUGGGAGCAACAACAUGGAGUCGUGGUCAGAUUUGCCAAAAGGAGGGCGAGGGAGGGCUUUGUAUGCGUCGUGGAAGUUAGAGUAGCAAUGAUCAAGGAAUUCUAGGUCAGGUGAACAAGAGGACUUGAUUUCCUGUAUGUUUUUAUGAACACGACCACGAUUUGUUAAUACAUCCCCGCCUUGCUUCUUACUAGAGCUGUUUGUUUCUGUCGGCGCGAUGCAUGAAGAAACCGGGGGGCUGUACUGACUCUGAUAACGUAUCCCGAGUGAGUCAUGUUUCCGUGAAACAGAGAAUGUUACAAUUUCUGAUGUCUCUCUGGAAGGCAACCCUUGCUCGAAUUUCGUCUACCUUGUUGUGAAGAGACUGGACAUUGGUGAGUAGUAUAUUCGGGAGCGGUGAGCGAUGUGCCCGUCUAUGGAGCCUGAUCAGAAGACCGCUCCGUCUGCCCCUUCUGCGGCGCCAUUGUUUUGGGUCGCCUUCUGGGAUUUGAUCCGUUGUCCUGGGUGGUGGUCCAAACAGAGGAUCUGCUUCAGGAAAGUCGUAUUCCUGGUCGUAAUGUUGAUAUGGCCACCUCCAGCAGUCUCCUGUCUGAAGACCAGUUCUUGUGCUCUGUCUGUCUGGAUGUGUUCACUGAGCCAGUCACCACUCCAUGUUGACACAACUUCUGCAAGGCCUGUAUAAGACAGUACUGGAAUAGCAAUGACCUGUGUCCAAUGUGUAAGGAGAAAUUCCACCAAAAUCCUGCGCUUCGCAUCAGUACUUUCAUAUCUGAGAUGGCUGCUCAGUUCAGGAAGUCAGUUGAAGGCCACCAGCAGCUGAGAUCAAUGCCCCGUUCAACCUAUUACAUGCACUGCUGCUACUGUUGAUUAUCUAUCCUGUUGCUUAGUCACUUUACCCCUAGCAAUGUGUGCAUAUCUACCUCAGUUACCUCAUACCCCUGCACAUUGACUCAGUACUGAUACCCUGUGUAUAUAGCCAAGUUAUGGUUACUCAUUGUGUAUUUAUUCCUUGUGUUAUUUCUAACAAAAUACCUUUUCUAUUUUUAUCUCCGCAUUGUUGGGAAGGGCCCAUAAAUAAGCAUUUCACUGUUAGUCUACACCUGUUGUUUAUGAAGAAUAUGACAAAUAAAAUUUGAUUUGAGC